RNAcentral lists this ribosomal RNA (433 nucleotides) under uncultured bacterium. RNAcentral's name for it is "partial 16S ribosomal RNA". It matches the Rfam family "Bacterial small subunit ribosomal RNA", at positions 29 to 507 of the family's 1533-position model. The record is from RNAcentral.
AACGAACGCUGGCGGCAUGCCUAACACAUGCAAGUCGAACGAGACCUUCGGGUAUCGUGGCGCACGGGGGCGUAACGCGUGGGAACGUGCCCUUAGGUUCGGAAUAACUCCCCGCAAGGGGUGCUAACACCGGAUAAUGUCUUCGGACCAAAGAUUUAUCGCCUGUGGUUGGGCCCGCGUUGGAUUAGCUAGUUGGUAGGGAAAAAGCCUACCAAGGCGACGACCCAUAGCUGGUCAGAGAGGGUGAUCAGACACACUGGGACUGAGACACGGCCCAGACUCCUACGGGAGGCAGCAGUGGGGAAUAUUGGACAAUGGGCGAAAGCCUGAGCCAGCAAUGCCGCGUGAGUGAUGAAGGCCUGAGGGUUGUAAAGCUCUUUUACCCGGGAUGAUAAUGACAGUACCGGGAGAAUAAGCUCCGGCUAACUCCGUG